UUGCUUCAGCACCACGCAGACUAAAAUUAGAACGACACAGAGAAGAUCGCUCUGCAAGGAUGACACGCAAAUUUGUGAAGCAUUCCAUAUUUUA
RNAcentral lists this small nuclear RNA (94 nucleotides) under Microtus ochrogaster (prairie vole). Lineage: Eukaryota; Metazoa; Chordata; Mammalia; Rodentia; Cricetidae. The record is from RNAcentral.